GGAUCGGUUUCAGCAAACCCGAGGCGCAUCCCGCACUUCCUCCCGCAGUUUCCACCGGGGGGACAGGGGUGUGACAUGAGCAGGAGCCAGCCCCGCAGAGGUCACAGCCCUGCGGGGCUGGGGCGACCCGGCCGAGCCGGGGUUUGUGCCUGGAGGAAGCAAACAGGGGCAUGAACGGGCACGCUCUGCUACUCAUUUAAAUGGCCACAAGCACACGGCUCUUCCUGAGGAAUUACAUUAAACGGACUUGGCCGUUUAAUAAACCAGCCCCUGGCUCCCUGCAGCGGUGACCUCUGAUCCCUUAGCAAUUCAAUGAUUCCUUGCAGUGCUGUGCCUGCAGGGCUGGGGCCGAGCGGCGAUAAUGACCGAGGGGUCGUGGACGACAAAACUAUUCGGCGCCGGUGCCCCCAGCUCACCUGCAAGCCUCGCACCAUCCGGCCGUGGCUCUCCUUCCCAGGCUGCCAGGAGUCUCCCGCUGCGAGGAGGAAGGAGAAGCAUCAGAGGAGACAUGGGGAACGAAAGGACGAGAUCAGAAAAAGGAAUAAAAGAAGGAAAUGUAGCGAACACUAAAAACAAGAGGAGGAAUUUUCCCGGGGGGGGAGAGGGAAGUGCCACUUACACGAGCUUUUUUCCCCUACAAUGUCUGCAAAAAUUCUGACAAUGCACGUGCUCGUUUUCCCUUUCCCAUCCCACACAAACCUGUUGUUGUUUUACUUUCAUUAUUUCACUUUGUUGCAUCAGAAAUGCUGAAUCAUAAAACGGGGGUUAGUGAAAAUGGUAUUUAUCUUUAAAGGAAUAAGCCCCACAUUAUUUUAAAGAUCCCCACGCUACUGCUGUUAUUAUUAUUAUUAUUAUUAUCAUCAUCGUGCAUCUUGGCAGGUUGAAAGGUAUCUCAGAACAGUAAGAAUUCAGCAGUAAUUUAACAUCCCACAGAAGUACUUUAAAAGCAUCAAAUAGCAUUUUGAAUUUUAAGUCAGUACAAGUGUAAAUAAAUGGAUGUACUCCCACA
RNAcentral lists this long non-coding RNA (1009 nucleotides) under Manacus vitellinus (golden-collared manakin). RNAcentral describes it as "lncRNA (ENSMVIG00005001814.1)". The record is from RNAcentral. Lineage: Eukaryota; Metazoa; Chordata; Aves; Passeriformes; Pipridae.